GAUGAAGAACGUAGCGAAAUGCGAAAAGUAAUGUGAAUUGCAGAAUUCAGUGAAUCAUCGAAUCUUUGAACGCACAUUGCGCCCGCCAGUAUUCUGGCGGGCAUGCCUGUCUGAGCGUCAUUUCAACCCUCAUGCCCCUAGGGCGUGGUGUUGGGGAUCGGCCAAAGCCCGCGAGGGACGGCCGGCCCCUAAAUCUAGUGGCGGACCCGUCGUGGCCUCCUCUGCGAAGUAGUGAUAUUCCGCAUCGGAGAGCGACGAGCCCCUGCCGUUAAACCCCCAACUUUCCAAGGUUGACCUCAGAUCAGGUAGGAAUACCCGCUGAACUUAAGCAUAUCAAUAAGCGGAGGA
RNAcentral lists this unclassified non-coding RNA (348 nucleotides) under soil metagenome. Its description in RNAcentral is "partial contains 5.8S ribosomal RNA, internal transcribed spacer 2, and large subunit ribosomal RNA". The stretch from base 1 to 120 matches the Rfam family "5.8S ribosomal RNA", at positions 35 to 154 of the family's 154-position model. The record is from RNAcentral.